ACGCUCGACACCUACUGGAGGCAGCAGUCGGGAAUAUUGCGCAAUGGAGGAAACUCUGACGCAGUGACGCCGCGUGCAGGAAGAAGGUUUUCGGAUUGUAAACUGCUUUAGACAGGGAAGAAAGAAAUGACAGUACCUGUAGAAUAAGCUCCGGCUAACUACGUGCCAGUAGCCGCGGUAAUCUGAGCGGGCUGGCAAGGC
Molecule: ribosomal RNA, 201 nt
Filed under: uncultured bacterium
Lineage: Bacteria
Description: partial 16S ribosomal RNA
Rfam family: Bacterial small subunit ribosomal RNA
Source: RNAcentral